RNAcentral lists this ribosomal RNA (200 nucleotides) under uncultured bacterium. RNAcentral's name for it is "partial 16S ribosomal RNA". It matches the Rfam family "Bacterial small subunit ribosomal RNA", at positions 8 to 200 of the family's 1533-position model. The record is from RNAcentral.
AGAGUUUGAUCCUGGCUCAGGACGAACGCUGGCGGCGUGCCUAAUACAUGCAAGUCGAGCGGAGUGGAUAGUGUGCUUGCACGCUAGAAACUUAGCGGCGGACGGGUGAGUAACACGUAGGUAACCUACCCAUAAGACUGGGAUAACCCACGGAAACGUGAGCUAAAACCAGAUAGGCAUCAUCCUCGCAUGAGGGAGAU